This 391-nucleotide unclassified non-coding RNA is filed under the name soil metagenome. RNAcentral's name for it is "partial contains 5.8S ribosomal RNA, internal transcribed spacer 2, and large subunit ribosomal RNA". The stretch from base 1 to 122 matches the Rfam family "5.8S ribosomal RNA", at positions 35 to 154 of the family's 154-position model. The record is from RNAcentral.
GAUGAAGAACGUAGCGAAAUGCAAUACUUGGUGUGAAUUGCAGAAUCCCGUGAACCAUCGAGUCUUUGAACGCAAGUUGCGCCCGAAGCCACUAGGCCGAGGGCACGCCUGCCUGGGCGUCACACGCCGUUGCCCCCCCAUCUACUCCUUCGGGAUUGCGGGGGGGCGGAUGAUGGCCUCCCGUGCGCCUAGCCGCGCGGUUGGCAUAAAUACCAAGUCCUCGGCGACGCACGCCACGACAAUCGGUGGUUGCGAAACCUCGGUUGCCCGUCGUGUGCGUUCGUCGCGCAUCGAGGGCUCGAAAAAAUGCUCGGCUCCGGCUGGGCUUUCAACGCGACCCCAGGUCAGGCGGGGUUACCCGCUGAAUUUAAGCAUAUCAAUAAGCGGAGGA